AUGGCUUGCACCCAGCGCUGGGCCACUGCCAGGGCCAACUGGCUGCUCUGCCAGCGGCCCAUCAUGGCCAUCCUGUGCCUGUGCUGCACUCCCUGGGUGAUGCCUCCACCCACAGGCCCCGGGGCAGGUUCCAGAAGUUUCCAGCAUGGAGCCAGGGCUGUGGCCUUGGGGCCAGUGGUGGUGGAACCCCUCCAGCUACCGGUCCCACAGUGUCUCACCUGGGCCCGGGGAGCACGUUCGCUCCUGGCCCAGCUUCUCGUGGCACUGGGAGCAGGAUGGGCUCAGACGUCCCCAGUCCCUCCAGGUCAUCAACCCCAAGGACACGUCGUGGCUGUGCAGGGCGAAGCAGGAAUAGCUGGGGGGUGGCAACCAUGCAGGCUGCCAGGCAGGGCCCUGCAUCUGAGCCGGCAGUGGGGCCUGGCCUGGGUCCAGGGUGGUGGCAGCAGCCACAAUUACUGUUUCAGUAAAUUACUGUUUUCCACUCUGCAAAGCCUCUGCCUGCAGUUGUUCAGGUGGCAUCAUGUGGAGGGGGCUGAACGCAGCCUCGCCUUGCUGCCUCUGCCCGCCCCACAAAUUGGUUUGGCAAUGUCACCACAGAUGGGAUCAGAUGGAUGGAUGGGGAAUGGCUGCAGGUGGUGGGCACCCAUGGGAGUCUCAAGGAGGAGGAGUCAUUUGUGGGAUGGGAAAUCAUUCCUUGAGGCCCCCAGGGACAAGAUGUGCCCCAUCUGCCUGGGCCCACUAGCCUAUGCAGCUCACUUGGACCCCUGCAGAUGCUCCUGCAGUGAGUGCAUCCAGCUGUGGGCCGCCCACAGAGCCAGCUGCCCGCUCUGCCACCAGCCCAUCAUUGCCAUUGUGCGGCUGGUGCUGCGCUCCCUGUGGGAUGCUUCGGCCCUCCGGCCCUGGGGCAGGUUCCAGCCCAGAGCAGGGCCGGGGCUGAGGCUUCAGGGGCAGCGACGGUGGAGCCCCUCCAGCUACCAGUCCCGCAGCAUCUCGCCCGGGUGCAGUCCCUCCACACCCCAGCAGCAUAUCCGCAGCCUCUCCUGGUGCUGGGAGCAGGACAGGCGCAGAUGGCCCCGGUCCCCAUGGGACACCAACCCCAAGGAUACACCAUGGCUGUGCAGGGCCUGGCAGGAGGAGAUGGGUGCUAAUGAUCAUGCAUGCUGCUGGGCCAGGCCCCUCUUCUGA
Molecule: long non-coding RNA, 1185 nt
Organism: Anser brachyrhynchus (Pink-footed goose)
Lineage: Eukaryota; Metazoa; Chordata; Aves; Anseriformes; Anatidae
Source: Ensembl